UGGAAGGACUCAAUCAUGGUGUCAGGACUC
Molecule: non-coding RNA, 30 nt
Filed under: Mus musculus (house mouse)
Lineage: Eukaryota; Metazoa; Chordata; Mammalia; Rodentia; Muridae
Source: RNAcentral